GAAAUGCGAUAAGUCAUGUGAAUUGCAGAAUUCAGUGAAUCAUCGAAUCUUUGAACGCACAUUGCGCCCGUCAGCAUUCUGGCGGGCAUGCCUGUUCGAGCGUCAUUUCAACCCUCAGGACCCCCCUUUCGCGGGGAGGGACCUGGCGUUGGGGAUCGGCCCGCCCCCCGUGGCGGCGCCGUCCCCGAAAUCUAGUGGCGGUCUCGCUGCAGCCUCCCCUGCGUAGUAGUUACAACCUCGCAUCGGAGCGCGGCGCGGCCACGCCGUAAAACCCCCGACUUUCUGAACGUUGACCUCGGAUCAGGUAGGAAUACCCGCUGAACUUAAGC
This 329-nucleotide unclassified non-coding RNA is filed under the name plant metagenome. RNAcentral's name for it is "partial contains 5.8S ribosomal RNA, internal transcribed spacer 2, and large subunit ribosomal RNA". The stretch from base 1 to 105 matches the Rfam family "5.8S ribosomal RNA", at positions 50 to 154 of the family's 154-position model. The record is from RNAcentral.